GCUUCUGCGCUGACGAGUGGCGGACGGGUGAGUAACGCGUAGGAAUCUGCCCAGUAGAGGGGGACAACCCGGGGAAACUCGGGCUAAUACCGCAUACGCUCUACGGAGGAAAAGGGGCCUCUUCAUGAAAGCUCCUGCUAUUGGAUGAGCCUGCGUGAGAUUAGCUAGUUGGUGAGGUAAGGGCUCACCAAGGCGACGAUCUCUAGCUGGUCUGAGAGGACGAUCAGCCACACUGGGACUGAGACACGGCCCAGACUCCUACGGGAGGCAGCAGUGGGGAAUAUUGGACAAUGGGCGCAAGCCUGAUCCAGCAAUGCCGCGUGUGUGAAGAAGGCCUGCGGGUUGUAAAGCACUUUCAGUGGGGAGGAAACGCGUUGUGUGAAUAGCGCAGCGUCUUGACAUUACCCACAGAAGAAGCACCGGCUAACUCCGUGCCAGCAGCCGCGGUAAUACGGAGGGUGCGAGCGUUAAUCGGAAUUACUGGGCGUAAAGCGCGCGUAGGCGGUUGAUCACGUCCGAUGUGAAAGCCCUGGGCUUAACCUGGGAACGGCAUUGGAUACGGGUUGACUGGAGUGUAGUAGAGGGGAGUGGAAUUUCCGGUGUAGCGGUGAAAUGCGUAGAGAUCGGAAGGAACACCAGUGGCGAAGGCGGCUCUCUGGACUAACACUGACGCUGAGGUGCGAAAGCGUGGGUAGCAAACAGGAUUAGAUACCCUGGUAGUCCACGCUGUAAACGAUGAGAACUAGCCGUUGGAGGUAAAUAUACUUUUAGUGGCGCAGCUAACGCG
Molecule: ribosomal RNA, 787 nt
Filed under: uncultured bacterium
Lineage: Bacteria
Description: bacterial SSU rRNA
Rfam family: Bacterial small subunit ribosomal RNA
Source: RNAcentral